Non-coding RNA from Otolemur garnettii (small-eared galago), 130 nucleotides. NCBI's taxonomy places the organism in Eukaryota, Metazoa, Chordata, Mammalia, Primates, Galagidae. The record is from Rfam.
UCCUCAGAGGAAUAAAUAGGCUUGUUGCUUUACAGUGUUAGUGACCCAUUCCCUUUGACGAUCCCUAGGUGGAGAUGGGGCAUGAGGAUCCUCCAGGGGAAAAGCUCACUACCACUGGGCAACAACCCUA